AUUUAGUCUAGCCGCAGAUAUGCAGGAUGUAGGAAAAGAAACUCCGACAAAACUUAAUGACCAAUACGUAUAAUUCCACUUGAAAACAUCAAGAUACAAAUAAUAAAUUUAGAACCACCAUUCGUCUCCGAAAACAUUGCCGCGCUCUAAUGACAUCUGUCAAAGACAAUCCCUUAAAUCUAAACUUGAACAAAAUAGUUUGACAAUAGUAAAUAUGUUUAGAAACACAUUUUUAAAAAUAUGUCUAAAUAAUAAAUACAUAACAACUCUGCUUGCUUUUUAUAAUUAACUUUGUAUUUUAAUUAGUACAAUGUCAUAGACAAUUUACAAUAGUUUAUGUAGGUAGGCUGUACAAUAAUUGUUAAAAUGACAACUAAGCUUACAGCUCGGCCUUCCUGCUAGCGCGAGUCCCUUCGCGAAUUGUUUUAACAUAUUGUAAAUGAUCAGAUUACCUACCUAAUAAGUUUAAAGUUAAAUUAUGAAUGAAAUGAAAUAAAUGUAAGAUUUCCUUAGAUCCGAAAUAAAAUGUAGCAACAAUAUAAUUCUUUCAAACGUAAAAUAAAGCGUAGAUGGAGAAGAAUAAAUCUUCUCGUCGAUACCACUUCUGAACUUUAGUCUAGCCGCAGAUAUGCAGGAUGUAGGAAAAGAAACUCCGACAAAACUUAAUGACCAAUACGUAUAAUUCCACUUGAAAACAUCAAGAUACAAAUAAUAAAUUUAGAACCACCAUUCGUCUCCGAAAACAUUGCCGCGCUCUUAUGACAUCUGUCAAAGACAAUCCCUUAAAUCUAAACUUGAACAAAAUAGUUUGACAAUAGUAAAUAUGUUUAGAAACACAUUUUUAAAAAUAUGUCUAAAUAAUAAAUACAUAACAACUCUGCUUGCUUUUUAUAAUUAA
Long non-coding RNA from Helicoverpa zea (corn earworm), 898 nucleotides. RefSeq lists it as uncharacterized. The transcript is spliced from 2 exons. The record is from RefSeq and is a predicted model, not a curated record. Lineage: Eukaryota; Metazoa; Arthropoda; Insecta; Lepidoptera; Noctuidae.